AGUGAACGCUGGCGGUAGGCCUAACACAUGCAAGUCGAACGGCAGCACAGUAAGAGCUUGCUCUUACGGGUGGCGAGUGGCGGACGGGUGAGGAAUACAUCGGAAUCUACUUUUUCGUGGGGGAUAACGUAGGGAAACUUACGCUAAUACAGCAUACGCCCUACGGGUGAAAGCAGGGGAUCUUCGGACCUUGCGCGAUUGAAUGAGCCGAUGUCGUAUUAGUUAGUUGGCGGGGUAAAGGCCCACCAAGGCGACGAUCCGUAGCUGGUCUGAGAGGAUGAUCAGCCACACUGGAACUGAGACACGGUCCAGACUCCUACGGGAGGCAGCAGUGGGGAAUAUUGGACAAUGGGCGCAAGCCUGAUCCAGCCAUACCGCGUGUGUGAAGAAGGCCUUCGGGUUGUAAAGCCCUUUUGUUGGGAAAGAAAAGCAGCAGGUUAAUACCCCGCUGUUCUGACGGUACCCAAAGAAUAAGCACCGGCUAACUUCGUG
This 492-nucleotide ribosomal RNA is filed under the name uncultured bacterium. RNAcentral's name for it is "partial 16S ribosomal RNA". It matches the Rfam family "Bacterial small subunit ribosomal RNA", at positions 29 to 507 of the family's 1533-position model. The record is from RNAcentral.